UUUUUUUAUUUGUUGUUGUUUGCGUUAGUUAUAGCUCUGGUGGGUGAAGUGAUUCUUCUUCUUCUUCUCUUAAGCGCUUGUCUUUUUGAGAUUUUAUGGGUCGAUCAAUGAUUUUUCUUCGUCUUCUUCGUCUUCUUCUUCUUCUAAAUGUUUCCGAUUGAUUGAUUUUUUUUUUGUUUUCUAGGGUUUGGUUUCUAAUUUUUUUUUUCCUAGUGGCUUUGAUCUAUCGGUGAUGGCUUUGUGAUUGGUUUGUUGGGUUCUCUCUGUUACGUAUCCUACGGUGUUUUUUUAAUUCUAUAUGAUCCAGUUAUGGCCUUUCGACUCUGAAAUCUCUCAACUUCAACUUCUAGGGAUUCGUUUGAUUGAGGAGGAGGCUACUAAGAUCUCUCGCUGAUGGUUUUGAUUGAGGAGGAGGGUACUAAUAUAAGAUCUUCUAGGCAAGCAAGCUUUGUCAUAAUCUUGUCAAAGGAUGGAUCACAGCAAGAAGCAAUAUGGAGUGGGCCUCAAGGAUUGUCAUAUUAACUCAGGACUAGCAGAGAAAGGCAUCAGUGGAGAUGGUGAUGAUGACUUGCUAAAGCUCAUGACCAUUUAUGGUUUCUGGAGUUGAAAAACCAACAAGCAUCAAUGUGGAGGGACGGGUAUGUUUGCAAUAUGAAGGGCCUCAACGAUUUGCUCAAUACUACCAGAGAAAGGCAUCAGUGGAGAUGGUGAUGACUUGCUUAGCCGCAAGACCAUUGAUGGUUUCUGGGGUUUCUUUCGGAUGCUUGCCAUGCAUGAUCUCACUUUGUUGAUGGUUGCUGCAGUAGCACAGAAAAAAAUAGAGCUGCUGUCAGUGACUACAAACCUCUUCACGUUUAAGAGUUGGUGAGAGAUUUUGGAAUUACUUCUGAACAGCAAGGAUUACAACAAGCAGCAAUAUGGAGGGGAUAAGCUUUGCAGUCAUGAGACAUGCUUAUAUAUAUAUCUGGUUAUUUCUUAUCUCUUGUCUCUAGCUAACUUUUGGUAUGCGUGUUUUUUUUUUGUUGCAUCAGCCUCAAGGAUUGUCAAAUUUGCUCUAGACUAGCAGAGAAAGGCAUCAGUGGAGAUGAUGGUGAUGAUGACUUGCUAAAGCGCAAGACCUUUUGUGGUUUCUGGUACUAAGAUCUCUCGGUGAUGGUUUGAUUGUGGAGUAUUCUCUUUGAGUUGAAAAACAAACGACCAUCAAUAUGGAGGGACGGGUAAGUCAUUGGCUUAAGGUGGAAUUGAAGAAAGUGGAUCAUUGUCUCUUGUUGCUAAAGAUGGAAUUGUCUAUUAUGGUUUUGGAUGAUGCUUUUAUGAAUCAGUGAUGGCUUUGAAUGAUCAUCCUCACUCUUCAGGUCUUAGUCUGAUUUUGGAAACCAAUUAUUUGUUUUAAGCUUGCUUAUGGAGCGACGUGGUUCCGGGGAAAGGUACAUUUGAUCAUUACAACAUGAUGACAAAGUCUCCAUCUCAUUUUGGAAACCAAUUAUUUGUUUUAAAGUGCAAAGCAUACUUCAGAUCUUUGAUUUGAAAAUUUAUCUUAAGGUUAAGAUAGGGCUUGGAGACGAGGCAGGAGAUCACUACUACUAUGUUCUCUCUCGGUUCCAAGUUUGGAGAAUGCUAACUGUUACUAAGAUCCCAAAUCAUGACGGGCUAUAAAGAUUUCUCUUAAGCGCUAGAAGCUUCUUAUCGACAGCAGUCUUCCUGAUAUGUCUCCGUCUCAUUUUGGAAACAAUUUAUUUGUUUCAAGCUUGCUUAUGGAAGAUUACGUUAAAUUAUUACUACAUGAUGACAAAGUAAUACGCUACAUAUGCUUAUGGACCGACGUGGUUAUGGGGAAGAGUACAUUAAAUCAUUACAACAUGAUGACAACAUUCCAUCAUCAAAGAGUGCCUCUUGUCAUACCUGUUUGCGGAACAGCUUCUGUUGGCAAGUCCACUUAACAGCUUCUGCUCAGAGACUAAACUUGCCAUACGUCUUACAGAGUUACAGACGGACAUGGUAUAUGAGCUACUUCGAACAACAAUUGAGUACGUUUUCUCCUUUAUAAUGAUGGACAUACUAUGAAGAAGAGAUAUCCAAACAUGUUGAGUUCCCUUUGGAGUUGGACUUGCUUCCUUACAUGAGCACUAGUAACGAAGAUUUCCAAGUUUCUACAAAAUACCAUCUUUCGGCCAUUGGUCAUUACUCCUCUUGUCUGAGGUCAGCUCAUGAGACAUGGCAUUAGUUUGAUGACGCCCAAGAUGAUUGUUUGGCUGAAAUUGCUCGUGACAACAAGUGAAGUCUGGUGCCAAAGAAGUCUACUUUCUCUUCUGGUACUAAAGCGCCUGCAUCUCAUAAACUGGUCACUGACCUGAUUUUCAAAUACCUUUGCAGAAUGGGGAAUUGAUUACUUAAAGUAUGACAACUGCAACUCAGUCUUCUGCCCCCAAUUAUUAAUUCCUUUUGUCUCAAUCGGAUUUUGGCAACCAAUUUAUUUGUUUAAGGUCUCAGUCUGAUUCUGGAAACAAAUUAUUUGUUUAAGUUUGCAGCUUGGUUUUGGACCGACGUAGUUAUGGGGGAGAGUACAUUAUUAAAUCAUUACAACUGUUGUUGCAGUUGUUGCUGUUAAAGUAAAAUGUCUUGGUGGGCCAGAAAGUGAUGGAAGUGGUACCAUUGUUGAUGCAGUUUCACGUCCUGGAUGAGACUUUUCAGAUCCUGUGAUUUCUGCAACCCUUAGUAUUGUGCAGGGCGUUCAUGGCUUCUUCCCUAUCUUCAAUUGUUUAUGAUUGAGAUAAUCCAGAUUGUGUGUGGUUUUCAGAACUGCCGCAGACUCGAUUUUUAGCACCGUUUAUAUUUCCUUUUCUUCUGCUGGGCUUCCGGGGUUCGGACAAAAGCUUUCCCACAGAAAACAUUUGCCCUCUGUGAAUUGGUUGAUUUCCUACUCAAAAGUAUUCAACGGCAUUGGGAUCUUUCUAUGAGAAGUUCGGACCAGACAUCAUCAACAUCAUGAGGACAAAGGCCAGAGAGGUGUUGCAGAGGGAAGAGGAUCUUAAUGAAAUUGUCCAGGCUAAAGAAAUUUCUCUUUCACACCGUAAGAAUAUUCCUACAUCUUGCUCUUCCACUUUUGGUGAACCUUAUACGACCAAGAAAAGGUAAAUCUCUAACAGCAGAAGAUCAACGAUGGCUAAGAUUUAUUCUUACAUUACAGAGUAUUUUGGUAUGUUAUGGGGGUGAUAGCAUUGGGAUCAGCUCUAAAGCACAUAGUGAAAUAUAUCCAGAAUCAAGUCAAAUACCACUUUAGCCUAGCCUAUAAACAAA
Molecule: non-coding RNA, 3297 nt
Organism: Camelina sativa (false flax)
Lineage: Eukaryota; Viridiplantae; Streptophyta; Magnoliopsida; Brassicales; Brassicaceae
Source: RefSeq, a predicted model, not a curated record